UCCAAACUCCUACGGGAGGCAGCAGUGAGGAAUAUUGGUCAAUGGGCGAGAGCCUGAACCAGCCAAGUAGCGUGCAGGAUGACGGCCCUAUGGGUUGUAAACUGCUUUUAUAAGGGAAUAAAGUGAGCCUCGUGAGGCUUUUGCAUGUACCUUAUGAAUAAGGACCGGCUAAUUCCGUGC
This 180-nucleotide ribosomal RNA is filed under the name uncultured bacterium. RNAcentral's name for it is "partial 16S ribosomal RNA". It matches the Rfam family "Bacterial small subunit ribosomal RNA", at positions 330 to 508 of the family's 1533-position model. The record is from RNAcentral.